This 169-nucleotide ribosomal RNA is filed under the name uncultured bacterium. RNAcentral describes it as "partial 16S ribosomal RNA". It matches the Rfam family "Bacterial small subunit ribosomal RNA", at positions 343 to 524 of the family's 1533-position model. The record is from RNAcentral.
GGGAGGCAGCAGUGGGGAAUAUUGCACAAUGGGCGGAAGCCUGAUGCAGCAACGCCGCGUGCGGGAUGACGGCCUUCGGGUUGUAAACCGCUUUCGCCUGUGACGAAGCGUGAGUGACGGUAAUGGGUAAAGAAGCACCGGCUAACUACGUGCCAGCAGCCGCGGUAAU